RNAcentral lists this ribosomal RNA (253 nucleotides) under uncultured bacterium. RNAcentral describes it as "partial 16S ribosomal RNA". It matches the Rfam family "Bacterial small subunit ribosomal RNA", at positions 524 to 776 of the family's 1533-position model. The record is from RNAcentral.
UACGUAGGGCGCAAGCGUUGUCCGGAAUUAUUGGGCGUAAAGGGCGCGUAGGCGGCUGUACAAGUCAAAGGUGAAAUCCCUCGGCUCAACUGAGGAACUGCCUUUGAAACUGUACGGCUUGAGGCCGGGAGGGGGUAGCGGAAUUCCCAAUGUAGCGGUGAAAUGCGUAGAUAUUGGGAGGAACACCAGUGGCGAAGGCGGCUACCUGGACCGGUUCUGACGCUGAGGCGCGAAAGCGUGGGUAGCAAACAGG